Molecule: ribosomal RNA, 468 nt
Filed under: uncultured bacterium
Lineage: Bacteria
Description: partial 16S ribosomal RNA
Rfam family: Bacterial small subunit ribosomal RNA
Source: RNAcentral
GACGAACGCUGGCGGCGUGCUUAACACAUGCAAGUCGAACGGAAAGGCCCUGCUUUCGUGGGGUGCUCGAGUGGCGAACGGGUGAGUAACACGUGAGUAACCUGCCCUUGACUUUGGGAUAACUUCAGGAAACUGGGGCUAAUACCGGACAGGAGCUCCUGCUGCAUGGUGGGGGUUGGAAAGUUUCCGCGGUUGGGGAUGGACUCGCGGCGUAUCAGCUUGUUGGUGGGGUAGUGGCUUACCAAGGCUUUGACGGGUAGUCGGCCUGGGAGGGUGCGCGGCCACAUUGAGACUGAGAUACGGCCCAGACUCCUACGGUAGGGACGAGGGGGGAAUAUUGCAUAAUGGGCGGAAGCCUGAUGCAACAACGCCCCGUGCGGGAUGACGACCUUCGAAUUGUAAACCGCUUUCACCUGUGACGAGGCGUGUGUAACGGUAAUGGGUAAAGAAGCGCCGGCUAACUACGUG